Molecule: long non-coding RNA, 235 nt
Filed under: Solanum tuberosum (potato)
Lineage: Eukaryota; Viridiplantae; Streptophyta; Magnoliopsida; Solanales; Solanaceae
Description: long non-coding RNA (STUB_LNC001516)
Source: RNAcentral
UUAAUAUCAAUAAAUAUGUGUACUAACUAAUUAUAAAGUCAUCAAUCAAAAAAUGACAUUUGUCCAAUUUGUGCACUUCUCACUUGCCUACAAGAGAGUGUGCACACUCGUUAUGUCAUGUCAGUGUUUGUGGUGAAUUUAUUCCAUUUUAAAUUUGUUCAGCAGGGUAAUAGGACCCUAGUAAGUUUAAGUGUGUAUCUGGGAUUUCAGUCAUAGUCUAAGGGGUACUUGUGUC